Molecule: ribosomal RNA, 393 nt
Filed under: uncultured bacterium
Lineage: Bacteria
Description: partial 16S ribosomal RNA
Rfam family: Bacterial small subunit ribosomal RNA
Source: RNAcentral
CCUACGGGUGGCAGCAGUAGGGAAUCUUCCACAAUGGGCGAAAGCCUGAUGGAGCAACGCCGCGUGGAUGAAGAAGGUCUUCGGAUCGUAAAACCCUGUUGUUAGAGAAGAAAGUUCGUGAGAGUAACUGUUCACGUUUCGACGGUAUCUAACCAGAAAGCCACGGCUAACUGCGUGCCAGCAGCCGCGGUAAUACGUAGGUGGCAAGCGUUAUCCGGAUUUAUUGGGCGUAAAGGGAACGCAGGCGGGAUGUUAAGUCUGAUGUGAAAGCCUUGGGCUUAACCUGAUUAGUGGAUUGGAAACUGGGAGACUUGAGUGAAGAAGAGGAGAGCGGAACGCCAUGUGUAGCGGUGAAAUGCGUAGAUAUACGGAAGAACACCAGUGGCGAAAGCG